RNAcentral lists this ribosomal RNA (600 nucleotides) under uncultured Bacteroidota bacterium. RNAcentral describes it as "bacterial SSU rRNA". It matches the Rfam family "Bacterial small subunit ribosomal RNA", at positions 54 to 644 of the family's 1533-position model. The record is from RNAcentral. Lineage: Bacteria; Pseudomonadati; Bacteroidota.
CAUGCAAGUCGAGGGGCAGCAUGACCGAACCUAGUUUGGUUGAUGGCGACCGGCGAACGGGUGAGUAACGCGUACGAAACUUACCUUCGAGCGAAGGAUAGCCCUGGGAAACUGGGAUUAAUACUUCAUGGUAUUCAGUGACGGCAUCGUUAUUGGAUUAAAACUCCGGUGCUCGGAGAUAGUCGUGCGUCCUAUUAGAUAGUUGGUGAGGUAACGGCUCACCAAGUCGACGAUAGGUAGGGGGCGUGAGAGCGUGAUCCCCCACACGGGUACUGAGACACGGACCCGACUCCUACGGGAGGCAGCAGUGAGGAAUAUUGGACAAUGGGCGCAAGCCUGAUCCAGCCAUCCCGCGUGCAGGAUGACGGCCCUACGGGUUGUAAACUGCUUUUAUAUGGAAAGAAACGCUCGGAUUUAUCUGAGCCUGACGGUACCAUACGAAUAAGCACCGGCUAAUUCCGUGCCAGCAGCCGCGGUAAUACGGAAGGUGCAAGCGUUAUCCGGAAUCACUGGGUUUAAAGGGUGCGUAGGCGGUUUAAUAAGUCAGAGGUGAAAGCUCACAGCUUAACUGUGGAAUUGCCUUUGAUACUGUUAGACUUG